Molecule: ribosomal RNA, 328 nt
Filed under: uncultured bacterium
Lineage: Bacteria
Description: bacterial SSU rRNA
Rfam family: Bacterial small subunit ribosomal RNA
Source: RNAcentral
AACGAACGUUGGCGGCGUGCCUAACACAUGCAAGUCGAGCGCGGGCAGGACUUCGGUCCUGUUCCGAGCGGCGCACGGGUGAGUAACACGUGAGUAACCUGCCUCGAAGUUUGGGAUAACCGCCCGAAAGGGUGGCUAAUACCGGAUAAGCCCCCACUGGCACAGGCCAGAGAGGGAAAAGCCUUGGCGCUUCGAGAUGGGCUCGCGUCCCAUUAGCUAGUUGGUGAGGUAACGGCUCACCCAAGGCGAAGAUGGGUAGCUGGUCUGAGAGGAUGAUCAGCCACACUGGAACUGAGACACGGUCCAGACUCCUACGGGAGCAGCAGGU